RNAcentral lists this ribosomal RNA (253 nucleotides) under uncultured bacterium. RNAcentral's name for it is "partial 16S ribosomal RNA". It matches the Rfam family "Bacterial small subunit ribosomal RNA", at positions 524 to 776 of the family's 1533-position model. The record is from RNAcentral.
UACAGAGGUCCCGAGCGUUGUUCGGAUUCAUUGGGCGUAAAGGGUGUGUAGGAGGUCAGGUAAGUCGGGCGUGAAAUCUCACUGCUUAACAGUGAAACUGCGUUCGAUACUGCUUGGCUAGAGGAUCGGAGGGGGUAUCGGAAUUCAUGGUGUAGCAGUGAAAUGCGUAGAUAUCAUGAGGAACACCGGUGGCGAAAGCGGAUACCUGGAAGAUUCCUGACUCUGAAACACGAAAGCUAGGGGAGCAAACGGG